UAGGGAAUCUUCCACAAUGGACGCAAGUCUGAUGGAGCAACGCCGCGUGAGUGAAGAAGGUUUUCGGACCGUAAAGCUCUGUUGUUGGUGAAGAAGGAUAGAGGUAGUAACUGGCCUUUAUUUGACGGUAAUCAACCAGAAAGUCACGGCUAACUACGUGCCAGCAGCCGCGGUAAUACGUAGGUGGCAAGCGUUGUCCGGAUUUAUUGGGCGUAAAGCGAGCGCAGGCGGAAGAAUAAGUCUGAUGUGAAAGCCCUCGGCUUAACCGAGGAAUUGCAUCGGAAACUGUUUUCUUGAGUGCAGAAGAGGAGAGUAGAACUCCAUGUGUAGCGGUGGAAUGCGUAGAUAUAUGGAAGAAUACCAGUGGCGAAGGCGGCUCUCUGGUCUGCAACUGACGCUGAGGCUCGAAAGCAUGGGUAGCGAACAGGAUUAGAUACCCUGGUAGUCCAUGCCGUAAACGAUGAGUGCUAAGUGUUGGGAGGCUUCCGCCUCUCAGUGCUGCAGCUAACGCAUUAAGCACUCCGCCUGGGGGAGUACGACCGCAAGGUUGAAACUCUAAA
This 560-nucleotide ribosomal RNA is filed under the name uncultured bacterium. RNAcentral's name for it is "partial 16S ribosomal RNA". It matches the Rfam family "Bacterial small subunit ribosomal RNA", at positions 355 to 906 of the family's 1533-position model. The record is from RNAcentral.